AGUCUGCAAUAGAUACUUAUCCUUAAUAGUGAACGGUAAAUUAAGCAGAGGUUUUUACAUAUUUGGACAUUUAACUCUAAAAACUCUGAAAAAAGCACUUUUUGUUAGGGUAACGGAGAUGGACAUAUUCUGCUAUAAGAAAUAACGGUUUUACUCUCUAUCAUCUUCUUCUUUCCUUCUUUUUUGUUUUUGAUGAGUGAAAUCGAAAAGAUAGUAUAGGGAUUCCAAAUGGAUCCCAAUUAAAUUUGUAUUGAUGAGUAAAAUCUUAACCCUAAUGAGAGUAUAGGGAACUCAAAUGCUUCAAUCAUAGACACAUAUCGAAUCAAUUAUGAAUUUU
This 337-nucleotide small RNA is filed under the name Arabidopsis thaliana (thale cress). RNAcentral's name for it is "ATSL194970". Lineage: Eukaryota; Viridiplantae; Streptophyta; Magnoliopsida; Brassicales; Brassicaceae. The record is from RNAcentral.